This 1867-nucleotide ribosomal RNA is filed under the name Limosilactobacillus reuteri. RNAcentral describes it as "bacterial LSU rRNA". It matches the Rfam family "Bacterial large subunit ribosomal RNA", at positions 1 to 1868 of the family's 2925-position model. The record is from RNAcentral. Lineage: Bacteria; Bacillati; Bacillota; Bacilli; Lactobacillales; Lactobacillaceae.
UUAGGUUAAGUUAUGAAGGGCGCAUGGUGAAUGCCUUGGUACUAGGAGCCGAUGAAGGACGGGACUAACACCGAUAUGCUUCGGGGAGCGGUAAGUACGCUUUGAUCCGGAGAUUUCCGAAUGGGGCAACCCAAUCAGCUUAGUCGCUGAUUACUUGACUAGUGAAUACAUAGCUAGCAAGAGGUAGACGCAGUGAACUGAAACAUCUUAGUAGCUGCAGGAAGAGAAAGAAACAUCGAUUCCCUGAGUAGCGGCGAGCGAAAAGGGAAGAGCCCAAACCAACAAGCUUGCUUGUUGGGGUUGUAGGACUGAACAUUAGAGUUACCAAAGUGCGACGUAGUCGCAACAGUUGGGAAGCUGUGCCAUAGAGGGUGAAAGCCCCGUAGACGAAACGUCACACUCUCUGUUCAGGAUCCUGAGUACGGCGGGACACGUGAAACCCCGUCGGAACCCGCGAGGACCAUCUCGCAAGGCUAAAUACUCCCUAGUGACCGAUAGUGAACCAGUACCGUGAGGGAAAGGUGAAAAGCACCCCGGAAGGGGAGUGAAAUAGUUCCUGAAACCAUGUGCCUACAAGCUGUCGGAGCCCGUUAAUGGGUGACGGCGUGCCUCUUGCAGAAUGAACCGGCGAGUUACGAUUGCAUGCAAGGUUAAGGUGGAAAAACCGGAGCCGUAGCGAAAGCGAGUCUUAAAUGGGCGUAAGAAGUAUGUAGUUGUAGACCCGAAACCAGGUGACCUACCCAUGUCCAGGUUGAAGGUGCGGUAAAGCGCACUGGAGGACCGAACCCGUGUCAGUUGAAAAUGGCUGGGAUGAGGUGUGGGUAGCGGUGAAAUUCCAAACGAACUUGGAGAUAGCUGGUUCUCUCCGAAAUCUCUUUAGGGGGAGCCUUGAGGUAAAGAAUCGUGGAGGUAGAGCUACUGUUUGGACAAGGGGCCCGUCAUGGGUUACCAACUUCAGAUAAACUCCGAAUGCCAUCGAUUUAUACUCAGGAGUCAGACGAUGAGUGAUAAGAUCCACCGUCGAAAGGGGAACAGCCCAGAUCACCAGUUAAGGUCCCUAAAUAUAUGCUAAGUGGAAAAGGAUGUGGAGUUGCAUAGACAACUAGGAUGUUGGCUUAGAAGCAGCCACCAUUUAAAGAGUGCGUAAUAGCUCACUAGUCGAGUGAUCCUGCGCCGAAAAUGUACCGGGGCUAAGCAUAUUACCGAAACUGUGGAUGUGCACUAUGUGCACGUGAUAGGAGAGCGUUCUAAGGGCGGCGAAGUCAGACCGUGAGGACUGGUGGAGCGCUUAGAAGUGAGAAUGCCGGUAUGAGUAGCGAAAGACAGGUGAGAAUCCUGUCCACCGAAUGACUAAGGUUUCCUGGGGAAGGCUCGUCCUCCCAGGGUAAGUCGGGACCUAAGCCGAGGCCGAGAGGCGUAGGCGAUGGAUAACAGGUUGAGAUUCCUGUACCAGUUAACUGCGUUUGACGAUGGAGGGACGCAGGAGGCUAAGCAAACCGUACGACUGGAAGAGUACGGCCAAGCAGUAAGUCAGGAUGUGAGUCAAAUGUUUACAUCCGCGUUGACAAGCUGUGAUGGGGAGCGAAAUUAAAGUAGCGAAGUUGCCGAUGUCACACUGCCGAGAAAAGCUUCUAAGGAGUAGUUAACUGCCCGUACCGCAAACCGACACAGGUAGUCGAGGAGAGAAUCCUAAGGUGAGCGAGAGAACUCUCGUUAAGGAACUCGGCAAAAUGACCCCGUAACUUCGGGAGAAGGGGUGCUGGCCGCAAGGCCAGCCGCAGUGAAUAGGCCCAGGCGACUGUUUAUCAAAAACACAGGUUUCUGCAAAAUCGUAAGAUGAAGUAUAGGGGCUGACGCCUGCCCGGUG